Molecule: ribosomal RNA, 508 nt
Filed under: uncultured bacterium
Lineage: Bacteria
Description: partial 16S ribosomal RNA
Rfam family: Bacterial small subunit ribosomal RNA
Source: RNAcentral
GAUGAACGCUAGCUACAGGCUUAACACAUGCAAGUCGAGGGGAAACGAUAUUGGAAGCUUGCUUCCGAUAGGCGUCGACCGGCGCACGGGUGAGUAACGCGUAUCCAACCUGCCCACCACUUGGGGAUGACCUUGCGAAAGUAAGACUAAUACCCAAUGAUAUCUCUAGAAGACAUCUGAAGGAGAUUAAAGAUUCAUCGGUGAUGGAUGGGGAUGCGUCUGAUUAGCUUGUUGGCGGGGUAACGGCCCACCAAGGCGACGAUCAGUAGGGGUUCGGAGAGGAAGGUCCCCCACAUUGGAACUGAGACACGGUCCAAACUCCUACGGGAGGCAGCAGUGAGGAAUAUUGGUCAAUGGGCGAGAGCCUGAACCAGCCAAGUAGCGUGCAGGAUGACGGCCCUAUGGGUUGUAAACUGCUUUUAUAAGGGAAUAAAGUGAGUCUCGUGAGACUUUUUGCAUGUACCUUAUGAAUAAGGACCGGCUAAUUCCGUGCCAGCAGCCGCCGUAA